GACGAACGCUGGCGGCGUGCUUAACACAUGCAAGUCGAACGGAAAGGCCCUGCUUUUGUGGGGUGCUCGAGUGGCGAACGGGUGAGUAACACGUGAGUAACCUGCCCUUGACUUUGGGAUAACUUCAGGAAACUGGGGCUAAUACCGGAUAGGAGCUCCUGCUGCAUGGUGGGGGUUGGAAAGUUUCGGCGGUUUGGGAUGGACUCGCGGCUUAUCAGCUUGUUGGUGGGGUAGUGGCUUACCAAGGCUUUGACGGGUAGCCGGCCUGAGAGGGUGACCGGCCACAUUGGGACUGAGAUACGGCCCAGACUCCUACGGGAGGCAGCAGUGGGGAAUAUUGCACAAUGGGCGGAAGCCUGAUGCAGCAACGCCGCGUGCGGGAUGACGGCCUUCGGGUUGUAAACCGCUUUCGCCUGUGACGAAGCGUGAGUGACGGUAAUGGGUAAAGAAGCACCGGCUAACUACGU
RNAcentral lists this ribosomal RNA (467 nucleotides) under uncultured bacterium. Its description in RNAcentral is "partial 16S ribosomal RNA". It matches the Rfam family "Bacterial small subunit ribosomal RNA", at positions 28 to 506 of the family's 1533-position model. The record is from RNAcentral.